Molecule: ribosomal RNA, 160 nt
Filed under: uncultured bacterium
Lineage: Bacteria
Description: partial 16S ribosomal RNA
Rfam family: Bacterial small subunit ribosomal RNA
Source: RNAcentral
CCUACGGGAGGCAGCAGUGGGGAAUUUUGGACAAUGGGCGAAAGCCUGAUCCAGCCAUUCCGCGUGAGUGAAGAAGGCCUUCGGGUUGUAAAGCUCUUUCGGCAGGAACGAAAUGGUUGCGGUUAAUAACCGCGACUUCUGACUUACCGAAGACUGCCGC